Molecule: ribosomal RNA, 499 nt
Filed under: Salmonella enterica
Lineage: Bacteria; Pseudomonadati; Pseudomonadota; Gammaproteobacteria; Enterobacterales; Enterobacteriaceae
Also listed under: 1 other name
Description: bacterial SSU rRNA
Rfam family: Bacterial small subunit ribosomal RNA
Source: RNAcentral
AAAUUGAAGAGUUUGAUCAUGGCUCAGAUUGAACGCUGGCGGCAGGCCUAACACAUGCAAGUCGAACGGUAACAGGAAGCAGCUUGCUGCUUCGCUGACGAGUGGCGGACGGGUGAGUAAUGUCUGGGAAACUGCCUGAUGGAGGGGGAUAACUACUGGAAACGGUGGCUAAUACCGCAUAACGUCGCAAGACCAAAGAGGGGGACCUUCGGGCCUCUUGCCAUCAGAUGUGCCCAGAUGGGAUUAGCUUGUUGGUGAGGUAACGGCUCACCAAGGCGACGAUCCCUAGCUGGUCUGAGAGGAUGACCAGCCACACUGGAACUGAGACACGGUCCAGACUCCUACGGGAGGCAGCAGUGGGGAAUAUUGCACAAUGGGCGCAAGCCUGAUGCAGCCAUGCCGCGUGUAUGAAGAAGGCCUUCGGGUUGUAAAGUACUUUCAGCGGGGAGGAAGGUGUUGUGGUUAAUAACCACAGCAAUUGACGUUACCCGCAGAAGAA